GGACAUUAUGCAUUUGACUUAGGCAAAUAUCCUAAGUUGAGGGUGGCUACCAUAGGGGUGCGUGAUGUAAAAUGAGUAUGAAGAAAGGUGGAAUAAAAGAAAAAAAUAAAAAGCUAGGUGUGGUGGGAAAAGAAUAAGAAAAGAAAAGUGCUGAAAAACAAGAAAUGAUUAGCAAAAAGACCGUACCUAUCCGGAUUAUGUGUGAUCAAGAAAGGAGAGAAUUAGGUAAAGGUAAAUAAGUG
This 242-nucleotide long non-coding RNA is filed under the name Capsicum annuum. RNAcentral describes it as "long non-coding RNA (CANN_LNC017843)". Lineage: Eukaryota; Viridiplantae; Streptophyta; Magnoliopsida; Solanales; Solanaceae. The record is from RNAcentral.